RNAcentral lists this transfer RNA (75 nucleotides) under Flagellostomias boureei (longbarb dragonfish). RNAcentral describes it as "tRNA-Leu". It matches the Rfam family "tRNA". Rfam says of the family: Transfer RNA (tRNA) molecules are approximately 80 nucleotides in length. Their secondary structure includes four short double-helical elements and three loops (D, anti-codon, and T loops). RNAcentral also lists the same sequence under 4 other names. The record is from RNAcentral. Lineage: Eukaryota; Metazoa; Chordata; Actinopteri; Stomiiformes; Stomiidae.
AUUAAGGUGGCAGAGCCCGGUAAUUGCGAAAGACCUAAGCCCUUUUCCCCAGAGGUUCAACUCCUCUCCUUGAUA